Molecule: ribosomal RNA, 960 nt
Filed under: Sclerophomella sp. CBS 186.55
Lineage: Eukaryota; Fungi; Ascomycota; Dothideomycetes; Pleosporales; Didymellaceae
Description: eukaryotic LSU rRNA
Rfam family: Eukaryotic large subunit ribosomal RNA
Source: RNAcentral
ACAGGGAUUGCCCUAGUAACGGCGAGUGAAGCGGCAACAGCUCAAAUUUGAAAUCUGGCGUCUUUGGCGUCCGAGUUGUAAUUUGCAGAGGGCGCUUUGGUAUUGGCAGCGGUCCAAGUUCCUUGGAACAGGACGUCACAGAGGGUGAGAAUCCCGUACGUGGUCGCUAACCUUUACCGUGUAAAGCCCCUUCGACGAGUCGAGUUGUUUGGGAAUGCAGCUCUAAAUGGGAGGUAAAUUUCUUCUAAAGCUAAAUACUGGCCAGAGACCGAUAGCGCACAAGUAGAGUGAUCGAAAGAUGAAAAGCACUUUGGAAAGAGAGUUAAAAAGCACGUGAAAUUGUUGAAAGGGAAGCGCUUGCAGCCAGACUUGCCUGUAGUUGCUCAUCCGGGUUUUUACCCGGUGCACUCUUCUAUAGGCAGGCCAGCAUCAGUUUGGGCGGUUAGAUAAAGGUCUCUGUCAUGUACCUCUCUUCGGGGAGAACUUAUAGGGGAGACGACAUGUAACCAGCCUGGACUGAGGUCCGCGCAUCUGCUAGGAUGCUGGCGUAAUGGCUGUAAGCGGCCCGUCUUGAAACACGGACCAAGGAGUCUAACAUCUAUGCGAGUGUUUGGGUGUCAAGCCCGAGCGCGUAAUGAAAGUGAACGGAGGUGGGAACCUUUCGGGGUGCACCAUCGACCGAUCCUGAUGUCUUCGGAUGGAUUUGAGUAAGAGCAUAGCUGUUGGGACCCGAAAGAUGGUGAACUAUGCUUGAAUAGGGUGAAGCCAGAGGAAACUCUGGUGGAGGCUCGCAGCGGUUCUGACGUGCAAAUCGAUCGUCAAAUUUGGGCAUAGGGGCGAAAGACUAAUCGAACUAUCUAGUAGCUGGUUCCUGCCGAAGUUUCCCUCAGGAUAGCAGUAACGUAUUCAGUUUUAUGAGGUAAAGCGAAUGAUUAGAGGCCUGGGGGUUGAAACAACCUU